AUCUGGCACCUUCGGUGUCCGAGUUGUAAUCUCAAGAAGUGUUUUCCGCGUUGGACCGCACACAAGUCUGUUGGAAUACAGCGGCAUAGUGGUGAGACCCCCGUAUAUGGUGCGGACGCCCAACGCUUUGUGAUACACUUUCGAAGAGUCGAGUUGUUUGGGAAUGCAGCUCAAAUUGGGUGGUAAAUUCCAUCUAAAGCUAAAUAUUGGCGAGAGACCGAUAGCGAACAAGUACCGUGAGGGAAAGAUGAAAAGCACUUUGGAAAGAGAGUUAACAGUACGUGAAAUUGUUGGAAGGGAAACGCUUGAAGUCAGACUUGCUUGCCGAGCAAUCGGUUUGCAGGCCAGCAUCAGUUUUCCGGGGUGGAUAAUGGUAGAGAGAAGGUAGCAGUUUCGGCUGUGUUAUAGCUCUUUGCUGGAUACACCUUGGGGGACUGAGGAACGCAGUGUGCCUUACGGCGGAUUUCUCGAGAUCUUCACACUUAGGAUGCUGGUGGAAUGGCUUUAAACGACCCGUCUUG
RNAcentral lists this ribosomal RNA (521 nucleotides) under Rhodotorula taiwanensis. RNAcentral's name for it is "eukaryotic LSU rRNA". It matches the Rfam family "Eukaryotic large subunit ribosomal RNA", at positions 120 to 656 of the family's 3401-position model. The record is from RNAcentral. Lineage: Eukaryota; Fungi; Basidiomycota; Microbotryomycetes; Sporidiobolales; Sporidiobolaceae.